This 239-nucleotide ribosomal RNA is filed under the name uncultured bacterium. RNAcentral describes it as "partial 16S ribosomal RNA". It matches the Rfam family "Bacterial small subunit ribosomal RNA", at positions 524 to 760 of the family's 1533-position model. The record is from RNAcentral.
UACGAAGGGUGCAAGCGUUACUCGGAUUACUGGGCGUAAGCGUGCGUAGGCGGUUUGUUAAGUCCGUUGUGAAGCCCUGGGCUCAACCUGGGAAUUCGCAGUGGAUGACUGGCGAGCUAGAGUGCGGUAGAGGAUGGUGGAAGUUCCCGGUGUAGCGGUGAAAUGCGUAGAGAUCGGGAGGAACACCGGUGGCGAAGGCGGGUCGCUGGGCCGAUACUGACGCUGGAGGAGGCGAAAGC